UGGCGACCGGCGCACGGGUGAGUAACGCGUAUGCAACCUGCCCGAUACCGGGGUAUAGCCCAUGGAAACGUGGAUUAACACCCCAUAGUACUUUUAUCCUGCAUGGGAUGUGAGUUAAAUGUUCAAGGUAUCGGAUGGGCAUGCGUCCUAUUAGUUAGUUGGCGGGGUAACAGCCCACCAAGACGAUGAUAGGUAGGGGUUCUGAGAGGAGGGUCCCCCACAUUGGAACUGAGACACGGUCCAA
This 244-nucleotide ribosomal RNA is filed under the name uncultured bacterium. RNAcentral's name for it is "partial 16S ribosomal RNA". It matches the Rfam family "Bacterial small subunit ribosomal RNA", at positions 89 to 334 of the family's 1533-position model. The record is from RNAcentral.